AACGAACGCUGGCGGCAUGCCUAACACAUGCAAGUCGAACGGGAUCCUAGCUUGCUAGGUGAGAGUGGCGGACGGGUGAGUAACACGUGGGAACCUGCCUUUUGGUUCGGGAUAACCGCGGGAAACUGCGGCUAAUACCGAAUGCUCCCGAGAGGGGAAAGAUUUAUCGCCAGAAGAGGGGCCCGCGUCCGAUUAGGUAGUUGGUGGGGUAAUGGCCUACCAAGCCGACGAUCGGUAGCUGGUCUGAGAGGAUGAUCAGCCACACUGGGACUGAGAUACGGCCCAGACUCCUACGGGAGGCUG
RNAcentral lists this ribosomal RNA (303 nucleotides) under uncultured Pseudomonadota bacterium. Its description in RNAcentral is "bacterial SSU rRNA". It matches the Rfam family "Bacterial small subunit ribosomal RNA", at positions 29 to 351 of the family's 1533-position model. The record is from RNAcentral. Lineage: Bacteria; Pseudomonadati; Pseudomonadota.